RNAcentral lists this ribosomal RNA (500 nucleotides) under uncultured bacterium. Its description in RNAcentral is "partial 16S ribosomal RNA". It matches the Rfam family "Bacterial small subunit ribosomal RNA", at positions 30 to 523 of the family's 1533-position model. The record is from RNAcentral.
AUUGAACGCUGGCGGCAUGCCUUGCACAUGCAAGUCGAACGGCAGCACGGGAGCAAUCCUGGUGGCGAGUGGCGAACGGGUGAGUAAAGUAUCGGAACGUGCCCAGUCGUGGGGGAUAACGUAGCGAAAGUUACGCUAAUACCGCAUACGAUCUAUGGAUGAAAGCGGGGGAUCGCAAGACCUCGCGCGAUUGGAGCGGCCGAUAUCAGAUUAUGUAGUUGGUGGGGUAAAGGCUCACCAAGCCGACGAUCUGUAGCUGGUCUGAGAGGACGACCAGCCACACUGGGACUGAGACACGGCCCAGACUCCUACGGGAGGCAGCAGUGGGGAAUUUUGGACAAUGGGCGAAAGCCUGAUUCAGCCAUGCCGCGUGCAGGAUGAAGGCCUUCGGGUUGUAAACUGCUUUUGUACGGAACGAAAAGGUUUGGCCUAAUAAGCUGAGCUCAUGACGGUACCGUAAGAAUAAGCACCGGCUAACUACGUGCCAGCAGCCGCGGUAA